This 869-nucleotide long non-coding RNA is filed under the name Rosa chinensis. RNAcentral describes it as "sRNA RchiOBHm_Chr6g0267311". Lineage: Eukaryota; Viridiplantae; Streptophyta; Magnoliopsida; Rosales; Rosaceae. The record is from RNAcentral.
GGCCGGCUUGGGUCCAGGGUUUGCGACUUCCUCCUCGUCCGGCGGCGCCCAUGGUCGGCAUCGGUCUGCCUAGUCGUUAAUGAGUUGCUGUCGGACGGGUGUUCGGUCACUAUUUGCCUGAAAAUCUGGUGGGAUGUGGUUUUGGCUUGUGGUCUGGCUCGGUGGUCUGACGAUGAGCACUGGACAAAAUCUAGAGUGCGGUGGGGGCGAUGAGGCGAGGGCGGGCUUCGUUGGGGCACCUCCAGGAUCAGCGACAUGAUGGUGGGGUGCUGGAUCGACAUCUUGGGAGGCUAGGUUAGGGGCGGCGUAGCUCAGUCGGGCUUCGACGUGGGCGUGGUGGUGAGUCCGGCGUGGACUUGAGGCGGCGAGGUCUGGCUCUGGAUCUGUGGCGAGGUACGGCGUUGAGGCGGCGAAGUUCGGCUGUGGUUUGCAGCGACGAAGUCUGGCGCUAGGUAGCGAUGGUCGACGACCAGUGUGGCUAGAAAUUGUCUUUCGGCUCGGGUUGGACCAUUCUUGUUGGGCCUGGGUCAAGUCGUCUCUUGGGCUUUUGGGCUGCUUGUUUUGGGCUGGAUUGUGAUCUAGGCCCUCCUAUUUAGUUUAGUCAUUUUGAUUAAAAUAAUUCCCUACUUUGUUAGGGAGCUAUGCUUCUAGUUUUUUUUAGUGAGCGUCAUCAAGUCUAGUUUACUCGGCCUUUACUAUGUAGUAGUUAAUAGUGUAUAGGCUUCCUUUCGGAGCAUGAAACUGUCAAAUGAUUGGACCUAAUCUAUGUAUCACUGUGCUACUACCACAAACUCUUUAUCUACCCCUUGAUGGUAGAGGGAGGAUAUGUAAUGGCCAUUUCUGGCUUUCAAUGAAUGAUAGUCGCCCUA